RNAcentral lists this long non-coding RNA (4080 nucleotides) under Marmota monax (woodchuck). Lineage: Eukaryota; Metazoa; Chordata; Mammalia; Rodentia; Sciuridae. The record is from RNAcentral.
UUUAGGGGCGGGGCUGGGGCGGCUGCAGAGUGAAUGGUCCUCGGGAAGGGGAGGCGGGCGCGGACCGGCUCCCUCCAGUCUGCUUUUUAGGCUGUCCCGGGCUGCAAGCUUCAGGCUGUCCCGGCGGUGCCAUGUCGUUCUGCAGCUUCUUCGGGAACGAGGUUUUCCAGAACCACUUUGAGCCAGGUCCAGCCUGUCGCCCCUGCCGGGAGGGAGUGGGAUGGAAGGAGUGCAUAAGAAGGGGAAUCCCCUCGCUUCGGGUGGUGGUGGAGUCCGAGUCCGGGAAUAGGACGUGUGUGGCAGCUGAUGAGAAGCGAUUGAAGGCAAAGGGGGUCGAGGAGGAGGAACCCCGGAGGUCCUGGGAGUAGGAGGACCCCAGGGGAGAACUGAGGGAAGCCGUGGGUCCAGCUGUGUAGCGGGUGGUGAGGAGGCCGGGGUAUACUGGUCAUCUGAACGGCGCGAUGGAAAAUCUAUCUAACCCGAAGGCAGUUCGGGUUCCCAUUUCCGCUGGUGAGUGAGCAAGCACUGAAUAAAAAUGUGCCCGUCUGUGUCCUCCCCCAUCUGCCCAUGCCUUCCGGGUUGGGUAUCCAGGGGUGCAGUUUUUGGCAGCUGUCAGUGAAAUUUGGCAAGUGACUAAAUAGGUGCGGUAGUUUGGGGCAUACCCCAACCUCAGCCUUGGCCCCAGGCUGUGAGAGGCCCUGGUAAGUUCUCAUCUAGCUGGUUGGACUCCUGAUAAUGGACUAAUUUGGUAAAAGCACAUCCACAGGAAAGACUAGGGCACAGGCCUCCCUGGUAUGGGAUCUGUUGAGUGUUAAUCCUCUAGGGGACUGGCUUAUGACACUGAGCACUAUGGGACCAGCUGUGACACAGGACCAUGAGGGCGAAAUUGUUCCUUGGACCCUCUGGCUAUGAGACCCCGCUUGUCCUCUGCCAAGGGAAACUCCAUUCCAUAGCAUCUUCUAGUUCUUUGCUUCCUGCUUGAGUUCCUGGUAAAGGCUGAAUAAUUCACAGACUUCAGGGGAGGCUGUCCCCAGAUAGGUGGGGAGUGAUUCAGUACCCAUGGAGUUUCCUGUUUUGAGUUCUUCAAAUAAUCUGCAAGUCAGUUUUGCAAACUUCUCUGCCCCUGCCCUCUCCACCACAAAGUGAUCUUUUGGGGAUGGGUUGAAAUCUGUCCUCCCGGCCCCUGUCUUUCUGGGUUCCCUGUCUGCUGGAGGCCUGUUCUCCGGGACUAUCUUCUUCCUCCCUGGAGAGCAGGCCAGUGGGUGGGUGUCCAGUUCAGGGCUUUGUUGGGUAGUAGGAUAGCUGCUGAAAUGGGAGUGGGGCCAGGUGGUCAUGCUGACCACUCAGGGCCCCUCUCUGUGGGUUCUGCAGGGUGUGGUGAGGUGAGUGCUCUGUCCCUAUCAGAUUGCCUGGGCUUCUUCCUGGCCACACACCUCACUGGAUGUCCACAGUACCAAGCCUCAACUUCCUCAUCUGUAAAAUGGAAAUGUUAAAAGAUUCCAAAUCAUGCGGCCAUUGAUAAUUCUCUGCCUUUACUUUCUCCACACUCCAGGCAUCUAUGUGUGUGCCAAGUGUGGCUAUGAGCUCUUCUCCAGCCAUGCGAAGUACGCACACUCAUCCCCAUGGCCAGCAUUCACUGAGACCAUCCACGCUGACAGUGUGGCCAAGCGUGCAGAGCACAAUCGACCUCAGGCCUUGAAGGUGGGUGACAGUGACCAGAGUUGGGGGCGUGUUCAGGGAGAGCCAGAGAACCAGUCACACCUUCCUUCCUUGCUUCCCCCACAACUCUUGGGAAUUCCAGGCUGACUAUUUGAGGCUUCUGGCCUCAGCAAGGGGACUGCCACUCCAUACCUGGGGAAAGCCUAGUGUCCUGGUGGAAUGUGGGCAUCAGGGCAGUUUCCCUACCUAGGCCCCAGGACGAAGGUCAGCCUUCCGCAGUAGGACUGGCUUGCACCAGGGCUGUCUGAUGGGCCAGAACUGACAUGGCUACCUUGUGGGCUUCCCAGGUGUCCUGUGGCAGAUGUGGCAAUGGUUUGGGCCAUGAAUUCCUGAACGAUGGCCCCAAGCCUGGGCAAUCCCGAUUCUGAAUAUUUAGUAGCUCGAUGAAGUUCAUCCCUAAAGGUAAGCUGACCUUCUGCAGCUGGAGGACAACUACACACACUGCGGGGGUCUGGGGCAGGGGAGGACACAUCUGUGCUUAUUCACUUUCUUUCUUUCUUUCCUUCUUUCUUUCUUUUUUUUAGAGAGAGAGAGAGAAUUUUUUUUAAUAUUUAUUUUUUAGUUUUCGGUGGACACAACAUCUUUAUUUUAUUUUUAUGUGGUGCUGAGGAUUGAACCCAGCACCCCACACAUGCCAGGCGAGCGCAUUAUCGCUUGAGCUACAUCCCCAGCCCCUGCUUGUUCACUUUCUAUGGCAAAAUAUCAGGGGCACCAAAUCACACUGCUCACAGCCUUCCCAGGGUCACCCCAAAAAGUGGCUGCAAAUUUUAGCUCCCUCUGUGUGAUCCAGAGGGGGCAUCUGUGGGAGGGUAUGACAAAGGGUUUUCUCUAGAGUCCUGGCCCUUCUUAUAGCUAUAGUCAGUAGUUGGGGCCAGCAAAGCUGAGGACCUGGGUCAUGUGCUGCGUGUCCCUGUGGUCGUGAUCUCAGGCUUGCUUCUCAGCCUCUAAGUUUGCCUCCUCCUCUGUUUAGUGCCUGUGAUGGCAGAGCCUCCUUCCCAGGGCCGAUAAGAAUGGCUGCAUGGGAUGCAGAACCCUUGGGCCUGGUACAUGGUGCAGUUCAGGAUACCUGUGCCACUGCUGGUGGUGUUCUUGGCUGUGCAUUCUGCCAGCUCGGCUUCCUCUGUCUGCGCCUCACCUGCUCACAGGGAACCUUGUGCCUCAGCAGUCUGUCUGCAGAUGCAGCUGCCUGUCUCCUCCCCACACUCUAGUUCUCAUCUCAGUGUUCCCUGGCUGUCACCAGGACCCCAGCCAUUCCCUUCAUCUCUGUUUCAUACCCUGUGGAAUUGGGCUGUUGUCUUUAGCACAUGCCACACCACAAGCACAGUGGGGUAAAACGAGCACCCUCUGAGGGCCUGGUGCAUGAUUAGCCUGAGUGGUGUUUCUGUCCUUUCAUCGUCUUUGUCCCCUGUCAAAUAGACUCUCAGGGCCCAGGCCUCUGGGCCUUCCAGCUCAGCUGGUGUCUGAGGCACAGUUUCACAGUGGCUUUCUAUCCUCUCCUUUCUUUCAGGCAAAGAAAGUGCUGCCUCCGAGGGGCACUAGGCGAGCUGCCACACCUACCCCAGAUGUAUGUGCACCAUGGGCACACUCUGGCAUCCCACUUUGGCAUUGGAACCCUGGAAAUUCAACAGGGAGGUAGUGGCAGUGACUGAGACACCAGGAAGGCACCCACGGCCUGAGUUCUGGGCUGGACAGCCUUGGGCAAAGCACUUGUCUGCCACAGUCCAGUCUUCUGCCAGAAUGGGCCUUGAGGGUUGGGGCUGAGCUGCUGGCUAUCUUGGCCUCCAGCUCACAGUCUCUGGGCUUAUCUUGUCUUUGAAUAUCAUUGUACCCCCUACCUUCUCUUCUCCUUGACCUUCUGCCCAUUCCCUGGCUGUCUGGACCCAUGUCUGUGGAGCCCUGGUCCUCACCUAAGCUGUGCCCCUCUUCCCCAAGCUGUACUGGGAGGAAGAAUGCAAACAAGGGCUGCCCUGGCCUGCAGCUCCAGCCCUGGUGACUCUAUGAUCUGCUCUGGUAAAAGCCUUCUAAGCCAUCCAGGGUGGUGAUGAUUUGUGACCCACUAGGAGCGCAGGCUGAUGUGACAGACUCUUGACUCUUCAUCUCCUGGUGAGAGGCCCGGACCCUGUUUCCCAAUCUGUGGUAGAGCUUGCUUCAUUGGUUCUUGGGAAAGGGGCUGCUGUUGCACUGCUUCACCAGUGUAGCUGGGGCCCUGGGGUCAGUCCUUCCAGUUCAGACCCGAAUGCGGUCACCUUACUGUAUGAAUUCAAAAGCUCUUGCCAUCUAAGAGGGCAGAUGAUUCUUAAGCCCACCUCCCUAUCUUCUUGGAGUAAUCAGGAGGAAAUCAAUAAAUAAAUGACACCUGCC